UACGUAGGGUGCGAGCGUUGUCCGGAAUUACUGGGCGUAAAGAGCUCGUAGGUGGUUUGUCGCGUUGUUCGUGAAAACUUACAGCUUAACUGUGGGCGUGCGGGCGAUACGGGCAGACUGGAGUACUGCAGGGGAGACUGGAAUUCCUGGUGUAGCGGUGAAAUGCGCAGAUAUCAGGAGGAACACCGAUGGCGAAGGCAGGUCUCUGGGCCAUAACUGACGCUGAGAAGCGAAAGCAUGGGGAGCGAACAGG
This 253-nucleotide ribosomal RNA is filed under the name uncultured bacterium. RNAcentral's name for it is "partial 16S ribosomal RNA". It matches the Rfam family "Bacterial small subunit ribosomal RNA", at positions 524 to 776 of the family's 1533-position model. The record is from RNAcentral.